Molecule: unclassified non-coding RNA, 2055 nt
Filed under: Hevea brasiliensis (rubber tree)
Lineage: Eukaryota; Viridiplantae; Streptophyta; Magnoliopsida; Malpighiales; Euphorbiaceae
Source: RNAcentral
CUGCGUCUAUAAAGCAAUCGCCGAAGACCAGAGCAAAGGAAAGAAGUCGGUCUCCCAUAGUUUCUGUGAAAGAAGCCAUCUUUGAUCUUUCUCUUCCCUUCUCUUUUGCUCUCUGUGGAACAGAGGAAAAAUGGCGGUGGGCAGAGAGGAGGUGCAGAUAGUCAAGCCAAGAACGGACAAAAGAGAGUAUAGGAGGAUCGUUCUCAAGAAUUCACUUCAGGUCCUUCUCAUCAGCGAUCCCGAAACCGAUAAGUGUGCUGCUUCAAUGAAUGUCAGUGUUGGCUCCUUCAGCGACCCUGUUGGCCUGGAAGGCCUUGCCCAUUUUCUGGAGCAUAUGCUGUUUUAUGCGAGUGAGAAAUAUCCGUUGGAGGAUAGUUAUUCCAAGUAUAUAACGGAGCACGGAGGCUGCACUAAUGCUUAUACAUCUUCUGAGCACACCAACUACCAUUUUGAUGUCAACACUGAUUGUUUUGAAGAUGCUUUGGACAGAUUUGCGCAAUUCUUUAUUAAACCACUAAUGUCAGCUGAUGCAACCACAAGAGAGAUUAAAGCUGUUGAUUCUGAGAAUCAGAAAAAUUUAUUGUCAGAUGCUUGGAGAAUGAACCAGCUUCAUAAACAUCUAAGUGAUGAAGGCCAUCCAUAUCAUAAAUUCAGUACUGGGAAUUGGGAUACUCUGGAAGUUCGACCAAAAGCAAAAGGAUUGAAUACAAGAGAGGAGCUUAUUAAGUUCUAUGAUGAAAAUUAUUCUGCCAACCUUAUGCAUCUGGUGAUAUAUUCUAAGGAAAGCCUUGAUAAAAUUCAAAGCCUUGUUGAGGACAAAUUUCAAGAGAUUCGAAGCAAUGAUCGAGACUAUAUUUUUUUUCCUCGUCAGCCAUGCACGUCUAAACACUUACAGAUACUUGUCAGAGCUGUCCCAAUAAAACAAGGUCACAAAUUAAGGAUUGUUUGGCCUGUAACUCCAAGUAUUCUUCACUACAAGGAAGGACCAUGCAACUAUUUGGAUCAUCUUAUUGGCCAUGAAGGAGAAGGAUCUUUGUUUUUCGUCUUGAAAUCAUUGGGAUGGGUUACAAGUUUGUAUGCAGGUGAAGAUUUUUGGAACCGGGCAUUUUCUUUCUUUAAAGUAACAAUUGAUCUCACUGAUGAUGGUCAUGAACACAUGCAAGAUAUUGUAGGAUUGCUAUUCAAAUACAUUCACCUCUUACAAGAGUCUGGUAUUUGCAAAUGGAUAUUUGACGAGAUGGCUGCUAUAUGCGAAACAAAAUUUCAUUAUCGAGACAAAAUCUCUUCAUUCUAUUAUGCAACUAAAAUCGCAUCAAAUAUGCAGUUAUAUCCUCCAAAAGAUUGGCUAGUUCGAUCCUCCAUGCCUUCCAAAUUCAGCCCAAGCAUAAUUCAUUCAGUGAUGAAUCAGCUUUCUCCAACCAAUGCCCGGAUUUUUUGGGUGUCUAAGGAAUUUGAAGGACAAACUGACUUGGUUGAGCCAUGGUACAAAACUGCAUAUAGUGUUGAAAACAUUAAUAAUUCAAUGAUUCAGGAAUGGAUAUCUUCUGCCCCUAAUGAAAAUCUGCAUCUGCCAGUGCCUAAUGUAUUCAUCCCUACUGACUUCUUGCUCAAGGAUACACAAGAGAAGGUCAAAUUCCCGGUUCUAGUGAGAAAGUCAUGCUAUGCGUCAUUAUGGUACAAGCCUGAUACACUGUUCUCCACACCCAAAGCCUAUGUCAAAAUAGAUUUCAAUUGCCCCUGUGCUAAGAGCUCUCCAGAGACAGAAGUUCUUACAAUCAUUUUUACUCGAUUGUUAAAGGAUUACUUGAAUGAAUAUGGCAAGUAAAUUGGAUUGAGUGAAGGGGAACAUUCUUAUUUCUUUGAUAUUUUUCCCCUUCCAAUGAUACUUCUACUAGUUAUAUUUGACGAAGAGGCAGAGCACUUGGAUUUAAUUGACUUUCCUUUCCUUUCCCUGUUACGGCUUAUUGAUAUUUCUGAUGUGGUAUUUAGUUUCAUUUUUUGGCAAGUUCUUGACACGUUCUGCACUUUUCAGCUUACAAUGCACGUGUUGCUGGU